AGCGAACGCUGGCGGCAGGCUUAACACAUGCAAGUCGAACGCAUCCUUCGGGGUGAGUGGCAGACGGGUGAGUAACACGUGGGAACGUACCACUUUGUUCGGAAUAGCUUUUUGAAACGAAAGGUAAUACCGGAUCCGCCCGUUUGGGGAAAGAUUCAUCGCAGAGAGAUCGGCCCGCGUCUGAUUAGUUAGUUGGUGAGGUAAUGGCUCACCAAGGCGACGAUCGGUAGCUGGUCUGAGAGGAUGAUCAGCCACACUGGGACUGAGACACGGCCCAGACUCCUACGGGAGGCAGCAGUGGGGAAUAUUGGACAAUGGGCGCAAGCCUGAUCCAGCCAUGCCGCGUGAGUGAUGAAGGCCUUAGGGUUGUAAAGCUCUUUUGUCCGGGAAGAUAAUGACUGUACCGGAAGAAUAAGCCCCGGCUAACUUCGUGCCAGCAGCCGCAGUAA
RNAcentral lists this ribosomal RNA (449 nucleotides) under uncultured bacterium. Its description in RNAcentral is "partial 16S ribosomal RNA". It matches the Rfam family "Bacterial small subunit ribosomal RNA", at positions 29 to 523 of the family's 1533-position model. The record is from RNAcentral.